This 253-nucleotide ribosomal RNA is filed under the name uncultured bacterium. RNAcentral describes it as "partial 16S ribosomal RNA". It matches the Rfam family "Bacterial small subunit ribosomal RNA", at positions 524 to 776 of the family's 1533-position model. The record is from RNAcentral.
UACGGAGGGAGCUAGCGUUGUUCGGAAUUACUGGGCGUAAAGCGCGCGUAGGCGGCCUUGCAAGUUUGAGGUGAAAGCCCGGAGCUCAACUCCGGAACUGCCUUUAAAACUGCAUAGCUUGAGUCCGGGAGAGGUGAGUGGAAUUCCGAGUGUAGAGGUGAAAUUCGUAGAUAUUCGGAAGAACACCAGUGGCGAAGGCGGCUCACUGGACCGGUAUUGACGCUGAGGUGCGAAAGCGUGGGGAGCAAACAGG